GACGAACGCUGGCGGCAUGCCUAAUACAUGCAAGUCGAACGCACUCUCGUUUAGAUUGAAGGAGUUUGCUCCUGAUUGAUAAACAUUUGAGUGAGUGGCGGACGGGUGAGUAACACGUGGGUAACCUGCCCUAAAGUGGGGGAUAACAUUUGGAAACAGAUGCUAAUACCGCAUAAAACCUAACACCGCAUGGUGUAGGGUUGAAAGAUGGUUUCGGCUAUCACUUUAGGAUGGACCCGCGGUGCAUUAGUUAGUUGGUGAGGUAAAGGCUCACCAAGACCGUGAUGCAUAGCCGACCUGAGAGGGUAAUCGGCCACACUGGGACUGAGACACGGCCCAGACUCCUACGGGAGGCAGCAGUAGGGAAUCUUCCACAAUGGACGAAAGUCUGAUGGAGCAACGCCGCGUGAGUGAAGAAGGUUUUCGGAUCGUAAAACUCUGUUGUUGGAGAAGAAUGUAUCUGAUAGUAACUGAUCAGGUAGUGACGGUAUCCAACCAGAAAGCCACGGCUAACUACGUG
RNAcentral lists this ribosomal RNA (520 nucleotides) under uncultured bacterium. Its description in RNAcentral is "partial 16S ribosomal RNA". It matches the Rfam family "Bacterial small subunit ribosomal RNA", at positions 28 to 507 of the family's 1533-position model. The record is from RNAcentral.